CUCGCCAGGGAACAACGAGCCCCAGCUUGAAACCCAAAGGACUUGGCGGUGCUUUAGACCCCCCUAGAGGAGCCUGUCCUAGAACCGAUACCCCCCGUUCAACCUCACCCUUCCUUGUUUAUCCCGCCUAUAUACCGCCGUCGCCAGCUUACCCUGUGAAGGUUUAAUAGUAAGCAAGAUUGACAUAACCUAGAACGUCAGGUCGAGGUGUAGCGCAUGGAGGGGGAAGAGAUGGGCUACAUUUACUGCACCAGUAAACACGGACUCUGCAUUGAAAAAGCACCUGAAGGAGGAUUUAGCAGUAAGGGGGGAGCAGAGCGCCCCCCUGAAAAUGGCCCUGAAGCGCGCACACACCGCCCGUCACUCUCCCCACCCAUUACGCCUAAUAGAUAAUACGAAGUACUAAAAAAUAAGGGGAGGCAAGUCGUAACAUGGUAAGUGUACCGGAAGGUGCACUUGGAAAAACC
This 467-nucleotide ribosomal RNA is filed under the name Gunnellichthys monostigma (onespot wormfish). RNAcentral's name for it is "partial 12S ribosomal RNA". It matches the Rfam family "Bacterial small subunit ribosomal RNA", at positions 868 to 1528 of the family's 1533-position model. The record is from RNAcentral. Lineage: Eukaryota; Metazoa; Chordata; Actinopteri; Gobiiformes; Gobiidae.